UGGGUAACACUAACUGGAGGACCGAACCCACUGUCGUUGAAAAGCCAGGGGAUGACUUGUGGAUAGGGGUGAAAGGCUAAUCAAGCCUGGUGAUAGCUGGUUCUCCCCGAAAGCUAUUUAGGUAGCGCCUCGGACGAAUACCAUAGGGGGUAGAGCACUGUUUCGGCUAGGGGGUCAUCCCGACUUACCAAACCGAUGCAAACUCCGAAUACCUAUGAGUACUAUCCGGGAGACAGACUGCGGGUGCUAACGUCCGUAGUCAAGAGGAAAACAAUCCAGACCGCCAGCUAAGGCCCCAAAAUCAUAGUUAAGUGGGAAACGAUGUGGGAAGGCAUAGACAGCUAGGAGGUUGGCUUAGAAGCAGCCACCCUUUAAAGAAAGCGUAAUAGCUCACUAGUCGAGUCGGCCUGCGCGGAAGAUGUAACGGGGCUAAAACUAUGUGCCGAAGCUGCGGAUUUGACAUUAGUCAAGUGGUAGGGGAGCGUUCUGUAAGCCGAUGAAGGUGUAUUGAGAAGCAUGCUGGAGGUAUCAGAAGUGCGAAUGCUGACGUGAGUAACGACAAAACGGGUGAAAAACCCGUUCGCCGAAAGACCAAGGGUUCCAGUCCAACGUUAAUCGGGGCUGGG
Molecule: ribosomal RNA, 626 nt
Filed under: Acinetobacter baumannii
Lineage: Bacteria; Pseudomonadati; Pseudomonadota; Gammaproteobacteria; Moraxellales; Moraxellaceae
Description: partial 23S ribosomal RNA
Rfam family: Bacterial large subunit ribosomal RNA
Source: RNAcentral